CUGGGGCUCCUGGGCGUCACACCCACUUUCCUUAUUAGGGCAGAGUCAGGCGCCCCGAGCCGGCAGCCGGGCGCGGGGUGGGGCGGGAGCCCUGCGAGGCGACAGACGAGGGCGCAGCCACAACCUCAGCCGCCUCCGAGCGGUAGGAGGGAGCAGCCGGUCGCUGAGUCCGGGCCGGCCCCUUUCCGGGGACCCGGCACGUCUCGCCCCGGAGGAGAUAGUCCUCCGCGCUCUCCGGGUACCUCUGGUCCAAACCACUCGGAACGACAUGGAAGAAUUUUUGCAACGCGCCAAGUCUAAACUGAAUCGAAGCAAACGCUUGGAGAAGGUCCAUGUGGUUAUUGGACAUAAAUCGUGUGACCUGGAUUCUCUCAUUUCUGCCUUCACAUAUGCUUACUUUCUAGACAAGGUCAGCUCACCUGAGGUUCUCUGUUUGCCCGUGCUGAACAUAUCAAGAACUGAAUUCAGCUACUUCACCGAGACAAGGUUUAUUUUAGAAGAGCUAAAUAUCUCUGAAUCAUUCCACAUAUUCCGAGAUGAAAUUAAUCUGCAUCAGCUAAAUGAUGAAGGGAAGUUAUCUCUAACACUUGUUGGCAGCAACAUGCUGGCAAGUGAGGACAAAACUUUAGAAUCAGCAGUCGUCAAGGUCAUUAAUCCAGUUGAGCAGGGCGAUGCUGGGUUUGAGUACCGAGAGUCUUCCUCCUCUCUGGUGGUGAAAGAGAUUCUCCAGGAGGCUCCCGAGCUCAUCACCGAGCAGCUGGCUCAUCUGCUCAGAGGUAGCAUCCUUUUCAAGUGGAUGGCCAUGGAACCCAAGAAGAUCUCAGAGAAGCAGGAGGAAAUUCUUUCUAUCCUGGAAGAAAAAUUUCCUCGCUUACCUCCAAGAGAUGACAUUAUCAACGUCCUGCAGGAGACCCAAUUCAGUGCUCAGGGUUUAAGUAUUGAACAGACAAUGCUGAAGAAUCUGAAGGAACUUUCAGAUGGAGAAAUAAAAGUGGCCAUUAGUAGCGUGAACAUGACCCUGGAGGACUGUACGUUUCACAGCAGUAUCACCAGUGAUUUGAAAGCAUUCUCAGACAAGUUCGGUUUUGACGUCCUCAUCCUCUUGGCCAACUACCUGUCAGAGGAGCAGCAGCCCAGACGACAGAUUGCUGUGUACUCUGAGAACCUAGAGCUGUGCAGUCAGAUUUGCUGUGAACUGGAAGAGUGCCAGAACCCUCACCUGGAGCUGGAGCCCUUUGAAUGUGGCUGCGAUGAGAUUCUGGUGUAUCAGCAGGAGAACCCUUCAGUGACUUGUGAUCACGUGGUUCUCCUGGUCAAGGAAGUCAUCAAUAGGAGGUGUCCAGAGAUGGCCUCUAACAGCCGGACAUCCUCCACAGAAGCAGUGGCAGGCAGCGCCCCGCUCUCCCAGGGGUCUUCCGGGAUUAUGGAGUUGUAUGGUUCUGACAUAGAGCCACAGCCCAGCUCCGUGAAUUUCAUGGAAAACCCUCCCGAUCUCAGUGAUUCUAACCAGGCCCAGGUGGAUGUCAACGUGGACCUUGUUAGCCCGGAUAGCGGGUUGGCCACCAUUAGGAGCAGCCGCUCAUCCAAGGAGAGUUCAGUUUUCCUCAGUGAUGACAGUCCAGUGGGAGAAGGUGCUGGGCCUCACCACAGCCUCCUCCCAGGAUUUGACUCUUACAGUCCCAUCCCUGAAGGGGCAGUAGCGGAGGAGCAUGCCCCGUCUGGAGAACACGGUGAAUCCUUUGACCUUUUCAACUUUGACCCAGUACCCAUGGUUUCUGGGCAGUCCCAACCAUCUUCCCAUUCUGCAGACUACUCCCCAACAGAUGACUUCUUCCCCAACAGCGAUUCAUCAGAAGGACAGCUCACCACGGGGCCUAAAAGACUUGAUGGGAUAGGGAUGGACGUGUCGAAUUAUUCAUCCAGUUCUCUUUUGUCAGGGACUGGCAAAGAUAGCCUUGUGGAAUUUGAUGAGGAGUUUGUCCAGAGACAAGAAAGUCCCCGUGAUAAUUCUGAAAGAAAUUUGAGCCUGACAGGGUUUGUGGAAGAUGAAUCUCCUUCACCAGAAAGUCUGAAAAAUGUUGGAAGGAGGGUCCCACCAACACCUAUGAAUAGCUUUGUGGAAAUCUCACCAUCCACUGAAGAACCAGCUGUACUCUCUUCAGAAGAUAUGACCCCCAAAACAGUCAACACGGGUCACACUGGGCCACCUCCAACCCAGGCACGGUGCAGCAGCUGGUGGGGUGGUUUGGAAAUUGAGUCUAGAAACACUGCAGAUGCAUGGAGUUCCAGUGAACAGGAAUCUGUCUUCCAGAGCCCCGAGUCAUGGAAAGAUCAUAAGCCAAGCCCAGUUGAUAGGAGAGCCUCAGGUUCUAUAUUUCAACCCAAGACUCUCGACUUCCCCAAGUCAAGUCCCUGGGAGUCAGAAUUUGGUCAGCCUGAGCUGGGCAGCAAUAAUAUUCAAGACCAAAAUGAGAAAAAAUUGCAGUUUCGGGGUAUGUCCCCUGAAAAUUCGCAUUUGCCGAAUCCUUUUCCUCAGGGAACAAACCACCUGAUAGAAGACUUUGCUGCUUUGUGGCGUUCUGAUCGCUCACCCACAGCCAUGCCUGAGCCAUGGGGAAAUCCCACGGAUGACGGGGAACCAGCUGCUGCAGCGUCAUUCCCAGCCUGGAGAGAAGACGCCGAAGCUUUGAAAAAUACCUGGAAUCUGCACCCGAUGAGUGGUGAGACACCUUCUGUGAGGGACCCAAACGAGUGGGCCAUGGCAAAAAGCGGGUUUUCUUUCCCUUCAGAAGACCUCAUAGACAGUUUGCCCAGUGAUGCAAAUAGUGAAGCAGUUCCAGAAAUCUGGGGCAAGAAGAACCAUGACUCCGAGGAUGAUAUUCUUGUAUCUGGAAGUCCCAGAUCUGAUCUGGAUCAUGCAUGGAAUAGUUCUAAGCCAGUAAAGGAUGAUCAGAAUGGUUUCGUGGAUCCAAAAAUUAGGGGGAAGGUGUACAAAAAUGUAGAUUCCUGGAACCUUUUUGAGGAGGGUAACAAGAAAGGAGGGUCAGAUGUCCUAGCGCCUUGGGAAGAUUCCUUCUUAUCCUAUAAAUGUUCCGAUUACAGUGCAUCCAACAUAGGGGAAGAUUCGGUGCCAUCCCCCUUGGAUACCAACUACUCUACCUCUGACUCUUGUACUUCACCAACAUUUGCUGGAGACGAAAAAGAAGCCAAAGACAAGCCAUUUGCUAAAGAGGCAGGUUUCGAGUCACGAGAUGCUAACUGUACCUCAGGGGAUGCUGACGUGCCUUCUCAGUCCCCAGAGCAGCCACCUAGAAACAGAAUUAGUUCAGGUCCUAGGAACCUGAAAAUGUGGGCUUCACCUCACGCAGAUGGUAGCUCUGAAAUAAAUGCCACUCACAGCCCAGAUAAAGAUUUACUCGAGGCAGAGCCCACAGAUGAUCAAAACACCUCCGUGGAGGAUGACAUUGGGGAAAGCAGCCAGUCCAGCUACGAUGACCCCAGCAUGAUGCAGCUGUACAAUGAAACAAACCGACGGCUCACACUUCUGCACAGCAGCGCUAACUCCUGCCAGGCGGCCCCCGACAGUCUAGACUUGUGGAACAGAGUGAUUCUGGAGGACACUCAGUCUACUGCGACCAUCUCGGAUAUGGACAACGACUUGGACUGGGACGACUGCAGUGCAGCUGUGGCCAUCACCGGUGAAGGUCAGGCACAAGGGUACAUGGCUGAAGGUUCUGAACCUGAAACCCGAUUUUCAGUGAGACAGGUAGAACCCUGGAGCGUGGAGUAUCAGGAAACAAAUCAGGUAGAUUGGGAACUCCCUGCCUCUUCUGAGCACAGCUUGGACACUGCUCCCAACGAAUAUCACAUGCUGAAUGAAAAAAGCGGGCAGCUGAUCGCGAAUAGUAUUUGGGAUUCCGUUAUGAGAGAUGACGCCGUGUCAUCAUUAAUGUCACCCGGCCCACCGUAUGUUACAGAUCCAGAACAAAGCAAAUCACCUCCUGAAACUUCCAGCUCAUUAGCAAAAAUUCAAGACAGUCGCAUCUCAGACAUGCUGGAAGCCUCUGGAGCCAGUGAGUCAGAAACACUUGAUCCUGACAAGCAGGACACAUGCAGGAGAACCCCACCAAGUGAUAUGGCGUAUUUGGUGACCCGACUUGAGAAUUCAGGGCAUUUUGCAUGCUCAGAUCCCUGGAGGGGUCCCAGUUAUGGACAAAAGGAAAGUGAGAAGGAAUCCCAUCGAGCCGCUGAUAGGGAGUGCCCCAGUGAGGCGGAGCUGAUGGAUGGAACCUCAGGGGCUUCUAGAAAAGGGCAAGGUGGCCAGGAAUGCCCUUCCCCAGAUACAUCUGAUCAUCCAGAAAUCUCCAAUGAAUCAGGCAAAAUCAGCUCUCUUUCAGUCACUUCCAGUCCUCAAACUGAGGAACCCCAGGAAGUAUUAGAGCAUGAGAAGGGGUCUUACACUCCAGACCCCUGUGAUGUGCAAACAGAAGUGUCCACAGAUCACCUGCAGGCAAAAGAGACCUGUGAAGAGCACCUCAUGAGUCACAGAAAUUCAGGUGAAACUACUGAAAUUUCAGGUAGGCUGAAUUCCACAAUAAGUGUAUCUCUACCUGAAAUGGAUGUGGAGGAAGCUGAAGAAUGUAACAUUCUGGAACCGGAGAGAAUGAACCAAGACCUACCUUAUGGACGUCGCCAAGGACUUGACGUUUGGGAUGGCCCUAAAGACAGUGAUGUGCAAGUCACCUGCACAAGUUCUGAAAUAACUAAGAAUCUCGAAGUUAAGAAUACUGAAAACAGCCCUCCAGGAGCCAAUUUAUCUGGAAAUGAUGACAGAGACAGCAUUUCUAGUGAGUAUACACAUUCAAGUGCAUCCAGUCCUGACCUAAAUGACUCUUCGGCUGCAUUGCCUUCCUGGGACCAAGGACCCAAUACUGGACAUCAGAAGGAAAACCAAGAUGAUUGGAAUACACAGAAUUACCAAGCAUCUGAACUAAUUACUACUGAUGGUCAAGUAGAAGUGAUUACCGAAAUGAAGGGUUUGGAGAAAAACAGAAUGGACAAGUUUGAAAAGAGCUUAGAUCACAAUGCCCCUAACUAUUUAGAGAUUUGGAAUGACUCAAUAGAUGGUGAUUCCUUUUCCUCUUUGUCUAGCCCUGAAACAGGCAAAUAUUCUGAAUAUUUAGAUGUAUAUCAGGAAGGAAAUCUAGUGGUUAGCCAUCAGGAAAAAAGUGAAUGUGAUAUUCCUGAAACUGUGCAGCAAGAGGACGCCAAGUUCAUGUCAACAAACUCGGGUUCUGAUGAUGAUAGUGUUGGCGAUGAAGAGUCAGUGGAGAAAGAGAUCCACUCAGCCACUUGCCGGGAUGCUCAGAGUGAACUCAGAGCUUGGGAUUCAUUGAAUGAAUCUAAUAAGUCCUUGGCCACAGCUGAUCCCAAGUCUGAGGAAUGUUCUGCCUAUAUAGGCAGUCCAGAACCAGCAGAGAAUGAGAAUAAGUCAAACCCAUUCUGCGACAAUCAACAAAGCAGCCCUGAUCGUUGGAAUUUCUUGUCACUAAAGGAGACUGAAAUACAGGUUACAGCAGUAGAGAAGGAGACGAGGUCUUCUCCAGAAACAGGCAGGACGGGAGAUGUCAUGUGGCAAAUAGCUCCCAAAGCUGAACUAAAGAAUGAAAAUGAUUCUAACCUGGAAAUGGCUGGCUUCUCAGCUGAGAGCACGGAGUGGUGGAACGCCUCCCUACAGGAAGGGCGACCAACUGAGAGGGCAUCUGAAGGGGCAUUAUCUAACUCAAGUGCUGUGCUAGGGAUGAAUUCCUCACCACGCCAAAACGUGGAUCCCUGGGGAGUACCCAUUCAGGGUGAUACCGAAUCCCUGGAAACAUGCUGUACCAAUCCUUUCAGUGAUCAACAUGAGUCACACUUUCUGGAUAAUAAUGGGGAGAAUGCCCACGAGCAACUUUGGAACAUUCAACCAAGGCAGCCAGACCCAGAAGCUGGUCAGCUUAGCCAGCUUGCAAUACUGGACCAAGUUAAAGACAAGGAUUCCAGAGAACAGACCGUGCCUUCUGCCAGUGACAAACUCACCACUGAAAUACCUACCCAAGAGCAGUGUCAGAAUACAGCGCUGUCUGUCUGGAAUCAGCCAGACCCAACAUUUACUCACACAGAUGAAGAUGGAUGCAUUAUAUCGAAUGUAUCAACUCCUGAGCGUCAAGAAACAAAUUGGUGGGAAAAAGAAAAAUCACACCCCGGUGAAAUGACAGAUUCAAGCAUUGCCUCUGAAGAUUUCCCUGCUGUCAGUUCUUCCACCCAAUUGAUAAAGAAGUCAGGCUCUGAAUGGGACGAUUCUACCCCUAGUGAGGGCCCCCAAGGUGCCUUUGUUCCAGAUAUUUUACACGGCAACUUCCAAGAGGGUGGGCAGCUGGCCUCCGCUUCACCCGACUUGUGGAUGGAUGUGAAACAACCCUUCGGUGUGAAGACAGAUGGUGAGAAUCCUGAUAUACUGACUCACUGUGACCACAGCAGCAAUUCCCAGGCUUCCAACAGCCCUGAUGUAUGUCAUGAUUAUGAAGCAGAGCCAGAGACUAAGCAGGACAUCAGUGCUGGGAUGGGACCUGAAGGGGAAUCCAGUGAGUUACAUCCCACCAAACCAGAGAGAGAUGAAGAACCCAGUCAGGAGCCAGCGCAGGAAUUUGUCCCGUAUACUUCAGAACUAUCUUCUGAAAACACAGUUCCGCUGCCUCGAAUCAGCGAGCAGGCAAACACAAAUAACUCAUCUCAACCUGCCUCUCACAAAGGUUCUCCUGAACCUUCUGAAAUAAACAAAUGCGAAAACAUUACAGGUUUAAAAGCGUCAGAAAAGGGAGUCAACCCAGAUACAGCACCAAUUUUGGAACCCACUGACAGAACAAUCCCAGUGAUUGAAAACGUGGGAACUGAUAUUUGUGUGAGUCACCCAGAGCCAACUGUGGAUAGCAACAGCUCUUGGAUAUCAGAAGACUUUUCUCCUGAGAGCCAGACCGAUGCAGGGGGCCCGUCGGACCGUGAGCAAGCUUUUGCUACUGAGAAUCCUGCCACAGUUCCUGAUACUUUGCUAGCCUCGGACACUUGUCUGGAUGUCAGCGAAGCUGCCUUUGACCACAGUUUCAGCGAUGCCUCGGGUCUCAAUUCAUCCACGGGAACAAUAGAUGACGUGAGUAAACUGACAUUAUCGGAAGGAAAUCCUGAAAUGCCAUUUGAAGGGGAGGCAGGGCAGCAAGAUAUCUGUUCCUCUGAAGCCUCGUGGGGUGAUUCUGAGUAUGAAGUCAUGGGCCAAAAUAUUGAUGAAGAUUUAAUGAAAGAGCCUGAACACUUCGUCUAUGGCGGUGACCCUCCCUUGGAAGAUGCCCUGAAGCAAGAGCUGGCACCUUACACACCUCCAUUUGAUUUGUCCUAUCUCACGGAACCUACUCCUGGUGUCGAAACCACAGAGGAAGCUGGGACUCCAGAGAAUGAGCCUCUGGGGAGCGAAGCCGCAGAGAUAUUGCUUUCUGCCCUUCCUGAUGAAAGAAACAAGGAAAACCACGCUGAGGCCACAGACAGACAACCUGAAUGCCAGCUGGUUGAGCUGCAUGUUCACGAAGACCCUGAGUCAGUUUCUUUGACCGUCAGAGUCGACGCCAACAUUGAGCUGUCUCCAUCAAACGUUGACUGGGAAGUAGAAACAGAUCAUUCAGAUUCACCAGCAGGUGGAGACAUAGGACCACCAAAUGGUGCCAGCAAGGGGAUAUUAGAGUUGGAAGAAGAAAAAAUAAUUCCUACCAAAGAGCCUGAGCAGAUAAAAUCAGAAUACGGGGAAGAAAGGUACACUGAGAAGUAUGAAGAUCAUCAUGCACUACACAUGGAUUACAUACUUGUAAAGCACGAAGAAAAUUCACCCCCAGAGCCAGAGGCCUGUGAGGCAAGAGAAAUCACGUCAGAAUUAGAAGAGUUUCACAUAGAUUCCGAAGAAACGGGGCUGCCAGGAGGAACUCAGUUAGCAUGCUUCCCAGACAUACAUCAACCUGCUUCCUUAAAUGAAAGAAAUCAUCUUUCUGCAGAGAGAAUGUCUUCUAAAGAUCGUAAGAGAUCAUCUUUUGAAAGCCCUAGGCAAGACCAGAGUUGGAUGGCCUUGGGCUGCAGUGAGGUUGGUGAUCCAUCAUCGGAGACUAGGGACUCAGGGCCUGGAUGGUCUGGCGAGGCUGUGGAGCCAGCCUCUGACCACAGCUUGGGUAAGGGCCCUCAAAUGCACAUUCUGGGAGAAAUGAAGCCUCCAGAAUCUUCAGCACUAGAGGAAGCCUCUGGCCAGGACAGCCAGUCAUGGAAGAGCAUGAACCAAGGCAGGGCUGGCCCCGAGACACUUCUGUUGCAGGCUGUCCCCCAUGACAAUGAAUGGGAAAUGCUUUCACCACAGUCUUCUCAGAAAAACAUCACCCCUGAAACGGAAAUGGAGGAGGAGACAGAGUUUCUUGAGCCCAGAACAAGGAAACCAAGAACAAAAGGACUACUGUCAGAGGAUGUGGGAAUGGACAUCCCCUUUGAGGAGCGAAUGCUGAGUCCCAGUGCUGCAGACAUGAGGCCUGAACCUCCUAAUUCUCUGGAUCUUAAUGGCAGUCAUCCUCAGAGAAUCAAACUCACAGCCCCAAAUAUCAAUCUGUCUCUGGAUCAAAGUGAAGGGUCUGUUCUCUCUGAUGAUAACUUGGACAGUCCAGAUGAAAUUGAUAUCAAUGUGGACGAACUCGAUACCCCUGAUGAAGCAGAUUCUUUUGAGUACACUGGGCAUGAGGAUCACACAGCCAACAAAGAUUCUGGCCAAGAGUCAGAGUCUAUUCCAGAAUAUACGGCAGAAGAGGAGCGAGAGGACAACCGGCUGUGGAGGACCGUGGUGAUUGGAGAACAGGAGCAGCGGAUUGACAUGAAGGUCAUCGAGCCCUACAGGAGAGUCAUUUCUCAUGGAGGAUACUACGGGGAUGGCCUAAAUGCCAUCAUUGUGUUUGCUGCCUGUUUUCUGCCAGACAGCAGUCGGGCAGAUUACCACUAUGUCAUGGAAAAUCUUUUCCUAUAUGUAAUAAGUACAUUAGAGUUGAUGGUAGCUGAAGACUAUAUGAUUGUGUACCUGAAUGGUGCAACCCCAAGACGGAAGAUGCCAGGGCUAGGCUGGAUGAAGAAAUGCUACCAGAUGAUUGACAGACGGUUGCGGAAGAACUUAAAAUCAUUCAUCAUUGUUCAUCCAUCUUGGUUCAUCAGAACAAUCCUUGCAAUUACACGACCUUUUAUAAGUUCAAAGUUCAGCAGUAAAAUUAAAUACGUCAGUAGCUUAUCAGAACUCAGUGGGCUGAUCCCAAUGGAUUGCAUCCAUAUUCCAGAGAGCAUCAUCAAUAAACCUCCGUUUACAGAUAAGGAAGACAACUUAGGAAGGGGACGUUACUUAUGCAAAGUAUAAGUAGGAACAAGGAAGAGAUGGAACAAGAAUUCAAAUCCAGGUCAGCCUGGCACCACAAUGCCCGUGCCCUUUUCUAGCAGAUUUCUUUACCUCCCUUAAAAAAACCAUCUAAAGUCAAAGCUCAGAAGCAGCUGCAUUUGGUUUUCCGGCAUUCCAAUAUCAGGUAAGAACAGAGGAUAGCGAUUGGGUUGAGAACUGCCAGUUAGCUCAGCUGAAUCAAGCAGAGUGUUCAUAAGCUCCUAAUGGUGGCUUUAAUCCUCACUAGCUUCAGAGAGUCCCGAAACCAGCACACCUUCUAGCUCUAGCCUGCUGCCUCAAAAAAGGGACCCCCAUCUCCAAAACCCACUCCUAGUCUUUAAAUGUAAAAGUACUGGAGCACCCACCUCCUAUAAUGCUGUCUCCCUUUGCAAAAGAUGACAAGGACCUUCCCUCGUCAAGUGGAAAUGAGCACUGGACAUUUUCUAGGUAAACAUGGCAGUGCUUCCCCGGUGUGGCAAGUGGAAAAAGAGAAGAGUGGGCUUUGGAGGCUUAGCAUUAGGUUUGAACCUUCCCACCUGCCUCUCUGAGACUUCAGGAAACCUAUUUAAAACACCGAGUCAGGGCUUCCCUGGUGGCGCAGUGGUUAAGAAUCCGCCUGCCAAUGCAGGGGACACGGGUUCGAGCCCUGGUCCGGGAAGAUCCCACAUUCGCGGAGCAACUAAGCCCGUGCGCCACAACUACUGAGCCUGCACUCUAGAGCCCACGAGACACAACUACUGAAGCCUGUGCACCUAGAGCCCGUGCUCUGCAACGAGAAGCCACUGCAAUGAGAAGCCCACACACAGCAACGAAGAAGUGGCCCCCGCUCACUGCAACUAAAGAAAGCCCGUGCGCAGCAACAAAGACCCAACACAGC
Non-coding RNA from Kogia breviceps (pygmy sperm whale), 10349 nucleotides. Lineage: Eukaryota; Metazoa; Chordata; Mammalia; Artiodactyla; Physeteridae. The record is from RefSeq and is a predicted model, not a curated record.